Molecule: ribosomal RNA, 475 nt
Filed under: uncultured bacterium
Lineage: Bacteria
Also listed under: 1 other name
Description: bacterial SSU rRNA
Rfam family: Bacterial small subunit ribosomal RNA
Source: RNAcentral
GAUGAACGCUGGCGGCGUGCCUAACACAUGCAAGUCGAGCGGAGAUUUCUGAAGUAGUAAUACGGAAGGGAUCUUAGCGGCGGACGGGUGAGUAACACGUGAGUAAUCUGCCUUCUGCAGGGGAAUAACAUUGUGAAAACAGUGCUAAUACCGCAUAACGUCCGACUGGGACAUCCCGGACGGACCAAAGGAGAAAUCCGGCAGAAGAUGAGCUCGCGUCCGAUUAGCUAGUUGGCGGGGUAACGGCCCACCAAGGCUUCGAUCGGUAGCCGAACUGAGAGGUUGAUCGGCCACAUUGGGACUGAGACACGGCCCAGACUCCUACGGGAGGCAGCAGUGGGGAAUAUUGGGCAAUGGGCGAAAGCCUGACCCAGCAACGCCGCGUGAAGGAUGAAGGCUUUCGGGUUGUAAACUUCUUUGAUCAGGGACGAAAAAAAUGACGGUACCUGAAGAACAAGCCACGGCUAACUACGUG